RNAcentral lists this ribosomal RNA (867 nucleotides) under Triticum aestivum (bread wheat). RNAcentral describes it as "partial small subunit ribosomal RNA". Lineage: Eukaryota; Viridiplantae; Streptophyta; Magnoliopsida; Poales; Poaceae. The record is from RNAcentral.
AUGGUUGACUCCCUUUCCCACAUCCUGACCCGGGCUGCGGCUGCUGGCCAUACUACCCCUUUCAGCUCCCAUCUUGCUCCUAAUGACAUUUCCCACCUCCGAUACGCGGAUGAUACCAUCAUUAUGGUGGAGCUUAACGAUGAAAGUGUGGCCCAGUUGAAAUUCCUUCUCCUUUGCUUCAAAGCUCUCUUUGGACUCAAAAUUAUUUUUGCCAAGAGUGAAGUUAUUGUUACGUGGGUGUCGGAUGCUGAGGCUCUUAGAGUGGCUCAUUUAUUAAACUGUUCUCUAGGCUCUUUCCCUUUCAAAUACCUUGGCUUACCAAUCUCCCCCAACAAGUUGUUGACGAAAGAUUUCGCCUCGGCCAUUUCGAAAGUGGGCAACCAGGUGCUGCCUUGUAGAGGCCGCUAUAACACCCAAGCUAGCAAGGUUGCCUUAAUCAAUGUCUGCCCCUCCUCUCUCCCCAUGUUCUUGAUGGGCUUCUACCUCCUUUCGAGAGGGACUCAUGCUGGGUUUGACAAGCACAGGGGCGCCUUUUACUGGAAUUUGGUGGACAACAAGCAUAAAUAUAGGAUGGUGAAAUGGAAGCUUAUUUGCAGACCCAAAAGCCUUGGGGGGUUGGGCAUUAUUAACACUGCUGUCAUGAACAAAUGCCUCAUCAUUAAGUGGUGGUGGAAAAUCUUGUCCCCCACGGAGGCCCCACUGUGGCUUAGCAUUCUCAAAUCUAAAUACUUUCCUGAGUCUAGUCCCAUGUUCGUGUCGGCCUCUGCCGGCUCCCAAUUCUGGCGUCACCUCGUCAAAGUUUGUCUGUUUUUAAGUCUCUGGUCAAAUUUGUUGUUAGGAAUGGAAAAUCUACGCGCUUUUGGUUAG